UCUCCUGCAUUGACAGGCAGAUUUUUUUACCACUUGUACACCUGGGAAGCCCCUAUCUUUAUACCACUUAUCAAAAUCUAAGUUAUUGGUUUAACAUAUUGCUUUAUUGUUUCUUUCAUCAGUUGCUCUGUAUUAAAAUCUAAGCUUCAUGUGAUCACUGACAUAAUGAAUGUACCCCUAACCAUAUCCUUGCUUGCAAUAGUGCUUGGUACAUAGUAAGCUCCCCCUCCGCCCCAUUUCACCCAGAGAAGAAUGAAAAGAUGAAGUGCUUGUUGCUUUCAUAUUUUCCAGUAAUUGCUGCACUUACUAUCUCUUUCACCCACUUCUUCUCUGUCUUUUUCUUCCUCCUGACAUUGGAGCAGAGAAUUUUGAUGGCAUAAUGUACUGAAGAACAGUUAGGGCUAGGCAACAUUGUUCUUUGAGAAAGUCUUAAUAAUCCCACCCAGCACCUCUUCCACUCAACUUGAAGGAAUGGCUCACUUGCUGCAGAUCAGCAUGUUGGCUUGUUCUGAGUUUUGAUUCAUUCCACUGAACAGAGGAAAAACUUGGAAGCCAAAACAUGUUUCAAACUAACAGUUGUCGACUUGGAAACAUCAUGCCUGGGACCUACCGAAUCAGAAUUCUUCAUUUGUAAUUAGUAAGAAAGGACAUCAGUAGCCACAAAAUCUACUGAAAUAAAAUGAUCAUCUGGGGACGUUAGAGAAGAAGCCUCUUUCUGUUAAAUUGGCCUGGGCAUUUCACACAGAGAGUGGCCACCUGCGCUGGGGCUCAGGGCAGUUUUAUGACCUCAAUACAGAGAAAGUAACACAGUUUUUAAAGCAUUAGUGGUUCUCUGACCUGAUGGAAAUGAAUUCAUGGCGCUGGGCUGAUAUCCUUGUCUCAUAGCUAGUAACAUAAUUGUAAUAUAUUCUGGAAUGCAGGUGAACAUUUGAUGCAAUAGCUUGCGGAUAAUUGACAAUAUGUUGUUUUCAUCCUUUGAACUCCUAAAGUGAUAUUUGUGAAAGCACUGUCCAUGGAUGGUCUUCAUCAGAAUCACCAAUAUUAAAAUUAAAGCAAGUGUAAAUUAACUCAUUAAAAUUUUAAAACCCAAAC
Non-coding RNA from Odocoileus virginianus texanus, 1092 nucleotides. The record is from RefSeq and is a predicted model, not a curated record. NCBI's taxonomy places the organism in Eukaryota, Metazoa, Chordata, Mammalia, Artiodactyla, Cervidae.